RNAcentral lists this ribosomal RNA (477 nucleotides) under Candidatus Scalindua brodae. RNAcentral describes it as "bacterial SSU rRNA". It matches the Rfam family "Bacterial small subunit ribosomal RNA", at positions 365 to 832 of the family's 1533-position model. The record is from RNAcentral. Lineage: Bacteria; Pseudomonadati; Planctomycetota; Candidatus Brocadiia; Candidatus Brocadiales; Candidatus Scalinduaceae.
UUCGCAAUGCCCGAAAGGGUGACGAAGCGACGCCGCGUGGGUGAGGAAGGCCCUCGGGUUGUAAAGCCCUGUCAGGAGUUAAGAAAUGUGGAUACGCUAAUAUCGUAUCUAUUUGACAAAGGCUCCAAAGGAAGCCACGGCUAACUCUGUGCCAGCAGCCGCGGUAAUACAGAGGUGGCAAGCGUUGUUCGGAAUUAUUGGGCGUAAAGAGCACGUAGGUUGUUUUGUAAGUCAGGUGUGAAAGCCUUCUGUUCAAAGGAAGAACGGCAUCUGAAACUGCAGAUCUUGAGUAUAGGAGGGGAGAGUGGAACUUCUGGUGGAGCGGUGAAAUGCGUAGAUAUCAGAAGGAACGUCGGCGGCGAAAGCGACUCUCUGGCCUAUUACUGACACUGAGUGUGCGAAAGUUAGGGGAGCAAACGGGAUUAGAUACCCCGGUAGUCCUAGCCGUAAACGAUGGGCACUAAGUAGAGGGGUUUU